Salvelinus fontinalis (brook trout) is the source of this 5682-nucleotide long non-coding RNA. RefSeq lists it as uncharacterized. The transcript has 8 exons. The record is from RefSeq and is a predicted model, not a curated record. Lineage: Eukaryota; Metazoa; Chordata; Actinopteri; Salmoniformes; Salmonidae.
AUUUAUAGAUUAGUCAUACAGUAUAUCUACAGAUUGUGUAUAACAUAGCACUGUCCUGACAGUUUGUUUGUUGUUUCUGGUCUUAUAGAACCCAGGGAAAGUCUCUGGUCCUGUGUCUGGCCUCUCUCCUCUUGUGACCUCAGCACCCGCAGCCCUCGCCUGGCCCCAAUCACCAACCUGAGUGAGAACGGCAGGAAGCUGCUCCAGAAAAUGUCAGGAGUGACCCCACAGGUUUCUCCAGUGGCUGCUGCCCAAACUGAGAUGUUCAAAGAAAUAAUGGCCAACUACUACUACAACAUACACACACUCGCAGAGAUUUUGAGUUUUGCUUACUCCUCCAACACACAGAGAAACUUAAUUUCAGAAACAUGAACUAUGUUUACCAAAAUACACAUAUUGGUCUCAUUGUUAUAUUUUGAGACAUGCACCAUUCUUUAAAAUAUUAAUUUAAAAAAUACCCAAUAAUUAUAUUGGUUCCCAUACAGCCUACUAGGGUAGCGUAUGAUAAUGGGUUAGAUUUACAUAGUGUGUAGUUAUCAGGCUUGGAAAUAUAGCCAGGAGAUGCAGAGUCAGCACCCCUACUCAUGUCAUAAGUGCCAUGAGAUGUUUAGUGACCACAGAGAGAUAGGACCUCUGUGUGCAGAGUCUCAUCCGAAGGACAGCACCGGCCGCAGGGCAGUGUCUGGCAUUGGGGUCUUAGGUCUUCUUUGGCCAAAGGGAAGUGAAGAGGGCCAGUAUGAUAGAGCAAGAACUUUCUUAGCAGAUAAUGAUAACAUGACAACAGUAGCUGUAGAUGAUGUAAUGAAAAGUUGGAGGGUGGUUGGUAAUGGAGGACAUCAGGUGGAUCCACGUCUGGGUGUUGGGCAGGACCCCUAGCUCCUGGAGAACAGGAGCAGAGUUAAAGGGAACAGGGUAGAAGACAGAGACCUAAACACUCUGCUCCGGUAGCUCUCCUUCUGUUUCUCCUGCGCUUUGUCCAUGUUCAGUCUCACCUUUAAUGAUGACAGGAAUACAUGCAAUUAUAUUUCAUAUUACAAAUACAUUUCUUACAUAUCUCUUGGAGUGACAGAAAAUAUAUUAACAGCAGACAAACAUUUUUACCUGCUUAAAAACCUCCACGUCCUUCUCAGUCUGUGCCUGAAGGUAGUACUCAAAGGUGUUCUGAUCUGUUUGGACAAUUUCCACCACAUCAGGUGGGGUUUCAGUGAUCUGAAAGUACGUUAUACAAAAAUAGCAAUAGACAAACACUAAGUCAAUCACAAUUUUGAAAGACUACAUUAUAUGCAGUAAUUGUAUAUACAAUUGCAUUGUUUACCUCAGUUUUUAGCUGCGGCUCUCGUCCAUACUCAGCAUGGAUGCUGCUGUUGUGUGCAAAGAGAAUUACCUUCAGGUUGUUCUCCCACCCUUCCUGAUGCCAAUCAAGGGACUUGCCCAUGGCAGUCUUGAGGGUCUGGUUGGUCCAUUCACCAAACCUGGAGGAGGGGGUAGGAAAGCAAUUUCUAUUGACAAUGUGCCUUAAGAUAUUGAAAUAUAUCUGAUUGUGUACCAUGGAAAAACAAAAACAAAUUGUAAAAAAUAAAUAUAACAAACCAUUGGUGACAGAAUAUAACCUGUAACAUACGUACCUUAUUCCAGCGUUCAUGACCUUGGUCACUCAAGAUGACCUCAGGAGAACCGUGAGUGUUGAAGUUGUUCACUAUUGCCUUGGCCUCGCUAGUCUCGUCCUUGAUGGGUAUCAUACAAAACAAAAAUCUAUUUUUGGUUCCAAGCACCCUUUUUAAUGGGUUAUAGAAGGGAAUUUAGAGUUAAGCACGUACUCUUCCUUUACUGACCUUAAUGGGUAUGAUCAGUCGCCGUCAGACACCAGCUGUUGCCAUUCAUGGAUUUCCCUAACCCUAACUCAUCAGUCCAGGUAGUCCUGAGGCAUGGUCCUAGGGCUCAGGUCCUCCGAGAGAAGAGAAAGAGAGAGAGAAUUAGAGGGAGCAUACUUAAAUUCACACAGGACACCGGAUAAGACAGGAGAAAUACUCCAGAUAUAACAGACUGACCCUAGCCCCCCGACACAAAUUAUUUCAGCAUAAUUACUGGAGGCUGAGACAGGAGGGGUGGGGAGACACUGUGUCCCUGUCUGAGUAUACCCCCGGACUGGGAAAACCAGGCAGGACAUAACCCCACCCACUUUGACAAAGCACAGCCCCCACACCACUAGAGGGAUAUCUUCAACCACCAGCUUACCAUCCUGAGACAAGGCCGAGUAUAGCCCACAAAGAUCUCCGCCACAGCACAACCCGAGGGGGGGCGCCAACCCAGACAGGAAGAUCACGUCAGUAACUCAACCCACUCAAGUGACGCACCCCUCCUAGGGACGGCAUGAAAGAGCACCAGUAAGCCAGUGACUCAACCCCUGUAAUAGGGUUAGAGGCAGAGAAUCCCAGUGGAGAGAGGGGAACCGGCCAGGCAGAGACAGCAAGGGUGGUUCGUUGCUCCAGAGCCUUUCCGUUCACCUUCACACUCCUGGGCCAGACUACACUCAAUCAUAUAACCCACUGAAGAGAUGUCUUUAGUAAAGACUUAAAAGUUGAGACCGAGUCUGCGUCUUUCACAUGGGUAGGCAGACCAUUCCAUAAAAUUGGAGCUCUAUAGGAGAAAGACCUGCCUCCAGCUGUUUGCUUAGAAAUUCUAGGGACAAUUAGGAGGCCUGCGUCUUGUGACCGUAGCGUACGUGUAGGUAUGUACGGCAGGACCAAAUUGGAAAGAUAGGUAGGGGCAAGCCCAUGUAAUGCUUUAUAGGUUAGCAGUAAAACCUUGAAAUCAGCCCUUGCCUUAACAGGAAGCCAGUGUAGGGAGGCUAGCACUGGAGUAAUAUGAUCACAUUUUCUGGUUCUAGUCAGGAUUCUAGCAGCCGUAUUUAGCACUAACUGAAGUUUAUUUAGUGCUUUAUCCAGGUAGUCGGAAAGUAGAGCAUUGCAGUAGUCUAACCUAGAAGUAACAAAAGCAUGGAUUAAUUUUUCUGCAUCAUUUUUGAAUAGAGUUUCUGAUUUUUGCAAUGUUACGUAGAUGGAAAAAAGCGGUUCUUGAAACAGUCUUGAUAUGUUCGUUAAAAAAAGAGAGAUCAGGGUCCAGAGUAACGCAGAGGUCCUUCACAGUUUUAUUUGAGACGACUUUACAACCAUCAAGAUUAAUCGUCAGAUUCAACAGAAGAUCUCUUUGUUUCUUGGGACCUAGAAUAAGCAUCUCUGUUUUGUCCGAGUUUAAAAGUAGAAAGUUUGCAGCCAUCCACUUCCUUAUGUCUGAAACACAGGCUUCUAGCGAGGGCAAUUUUGGGGCUUCACCAUGUUUCAUUGAAAUGUACAGCUGUGUGUCAUCCGCAUAGCAGUGAAAGUUAACAUUAUGUUUUCGAAUGACAUCCCCAAGAGGUAAAAUAUAUAGUGAAAACAAUAGUGGUCCUAAAACAGAACCUUGAGGAACACUGAAAUGUACAGUUGAUUUGUCAGAGGACAAACCAUUCACAGAGACAAACUGAUAUCUUUCCGACAGAUAAGAUCUAAACCACUCCAGAACUUGUCCGUGUAGACCAAUUUGGGUUUCCAAUCUCUCCAAAAGAAUGUGGUGAUCGAUGGUAUCAAAGCCAGUACUAAGGUCUAGGAGCAUGAGGACAGAUGCAGAGCCUCGGUCUGACGCCAUUAAAAGGUCAUUUACCACCUUCACAAGUGCAGUCUCAGUGCUAUGAUGGGGUCUAAAACCAGACCGAAGCAUUUCGUAUACAUUGUUUGUCUUCAGGAAGGCAGUGAGUUGCUGUGCAACAACACUAAAACACUUAAGUGUCUCUCUUGAUCCUAGGUCCUGGCAGAGUUGUGCAGACUCAUGACACAUGAGCUUUGGAGUAAUACGCAGAUUUAAAGAGGAGUCCCUAAUUUGCUUUCUAAUGAUCAUGAUCUUUUCCUCAAAGAAGUUCAUGAAUGUAUUACUGCUGAAGUGAAAGCCAUCCUCACUUGGGGAAUGCUGCUUUUUAGUUAGCUUUGCGACAGUAUCAAAAAUAAAUUUCGUAUUGUUCUUAUUUUCCUCAAUUAAGUUGGAAAAAUAGGAUGAUCGAGCAGCGGUGAGGGCUCUUCGAUACUGCACGGUACGGUCUUUCCAAGCUAAUCGGAAAACUUCCAGUUUGGUGUGGCGCCAUUUCCGCUCCAAUUUUCUGGAAGCUUGCUUCAGAGCUCGGCUAUUUUCUGUAUACCAGGGAGCUAGUUUCUUAUGACAAAUGUGAGUGCAUGUAACCGCACUCACUGUCUUCUGGGUAAGCAACUCCAGUGUAGAUUUGGCCUUUUGUUGUAGCUUAUUGUCCUGCUGAAAGGUUUAUUCCUCUCCCAGUCUCUGGUGUAAAGCAGACUGAAGCAAGUUUGCCUUAAGGAUUUUGCCUGUGCUGAGCUCCAUCCUGUUUCUUUUUAUCCUGAAAACCUCCCCAGUAUUGUCAAGCAUACCCAUACCAUGAUGCAGCCACCACCAUUCUUGAAAAUAAGGAGGCAGUUACUCAUUGAUGUGUUGUGUUGGUUUUGUCCCAAACAUAACACUUUGCAUUUACGCCAAAAAGUGCAUUCCUUUGCUGUGUUUUUUUGCAGAAUUACUUUAGUGCCUUCUUGCAUACAAGAUGCAUGUUUUGGAAUAUGUAUUACUUAUUAUUAUUCUGUAUAUUUGUAUUCUUCUUUUCACUCUGUCAUUUAGGUCAUUAUUGUGGAGUCACUACAAUGUUGUUGAUCCAUCCUCAGUUCUCUCCCAUCAGAGCCAUGGAACUCUGUAGCUGUUUUAAAAUCACCAGUGACCUCAUGAUUGGUCCAUUCUGCCAUUCCAGUCGACUCGAACCUGUCGCACAAAGUCAUACGAAAGGACGACGUGGCUUUCUUCAGUUACCCUUUCAGCUUCGAGGCUGAAAGGGAGAGAGGAUGGGGCAGGAGAGAGGAUGGGACAGAGGAGUCCCUCCCCCAAUGGCCAGUGCUCUACUUCAAGGUCCUCUCCCUGGACUUCUGGCAGCGCUACAGAACUAUGGCUACCUGGUCAUCCCUUCCACCCCUGGGAAGCAUACAAUAACAUGCUAUACGUGGAGACGACUGCAGAUCGGAACUGAGACGCUUCUUUAUUGGUGGAUCCCCUGAGAUGGAGGACUACAGUUACGUCAGAGUGAGAGGGACCUUCAAGGGCAUUUGUUGAAGCCAGCAACCUGUAGAAGAGGCAGAGUGUUCUGGACCAGCUGGGAGGCUUCAGCCAGCAAGGGGCUGUCUAUAAUGUCCUGGAGGCAUUCCAGAGGGCAAUGAGACGGAUGAAGGAGACCAGAGAGAGUUUUCCCAGAGACCUUAUCAACACCUCAGCCCAACUCAACUCUGAUUCCACUGCAUAGACACAUACAUUGUAUUACAUAGGCAGCACAACAAUAACCUGAAACAUCCUGCUAAAGAAAUUCCAGUAUCCAAGAUUACAUCCCCCUCACCAGCCAUCUUCGUUUAUGUUCUGUAAUUUUGUAAUUACCUGUAUAUAUUUUGAGAUGUGGUUGAGAUAUUUUAAGAGAUGUACAUUUCCUUUGAGGUUGCAUUUUGAUGACUUUGUAGCACAGUGUCAGAUGAUGUAUGAACUAUUUUCAAUGUUUUGUUAUCAUAGUUUUUCAAUAGAUUUCAUAUUAAAACUAAGAUAUGCUUAUUA